GCAGAGUAAGAACAUGUGCGUUAAGUGCUGACCGGACGGGGAGUUGCCGGUCGGACGAAAAGGCUUCGGCGUGGCCGGGGUACUUGCGGUACAGGUUCUGCAUCCCGCUGC
This 111-nucleotide non-coding RNA is filed under the name uncultured Faecalimonas sp. RNAcentral's name for it is "THF riboswitch". It matches the Rfam family "THF (Tetrahydrofolate) riboswitch aptamer". Rfam says of the family: THF riboswitch presents a pseudoknot that joins P1-P2 and the loop of P3 and two THF binding. Lineage: Bacteria; Bacillati; Bacillota; Clostridia; Lachnospirales; Lachnospiraceae. The record is from RNAcentral.